Molecule: transfer RNA, 82 nt
Filed under: Aspergillus ellipticus CBS 707.79
Lineage: Eukaryota; Fungi; Ascomycota; Eurotiomycetes; Eurotiales; Aspergillaceae
Rfam family: tRNA
About the family: Transfer RNA (tRNA) molecules are approximately 80 nucleotides in length. Their secondary structure includes four short double-helical elements and three loops (D, anti-codon, and T loops).
Source: Rfam by way of RNAcentral
GCAUUAAUGGUGUAGCGGUAACAUACUUCCCUUCCAUCUUCAAUGAUAGGAAGUGCUCUGGGUUCGACUCCCAGUUAAUGCA